UUUGCAUAUCAAUAAGCGGAGGAAAAGAAACCAACAGGGAUUGGUCUAGUAACGGCGAGUGAAGCGGCAACAGCUCAAAUUUGAAAUCUGGCUCUUUCAGAGUCCGAGUUGUAAUUUGCAGAGGGCGCUUUGGCUUUGGCAGCGGUCCAAGUUCCUUGGAACAGGACGUCACAGAGGGUGAGAAUCCCGUACGUGGUCGCUAGCUAUUGCCGUGUAAAGCCCCUUCGACGAGUCGAGUUGUUUGGGAAUGCAGCUCUAAAUGGGAGGUAAAUUUCUUCUAAAGCUAAAUAUUGGCCAGAGACCGAUAGCGCACAAGUAGAGUGAUCGAAAGAUGAAAAGCACUUUGGAAAGAGAGUCAAACAGCACGUGAAAUUGUUGAAAGGGAAGCGCUUGCAGCCAGACUUGCUUGCAGUUGCUCAUCCGGGCUUUUGCCCGGUGCACUCUUCUGUAGGCAGGCCAGCAUCAGUUUGGGCGGUGGGAUAAAGGUCUCUGUCACGUACCUCUCUUCGGGGAGGCCUUAUAGGGGAGACGACAUACCACCAGCCUAGACUGAGGUCCGCGCAUCUGCUAGGAUGCUGGCGUAAUGGCUGUAAGCGGCCCGUCUUGAAACACGGACCC
RNAcentral lists this ribosomal RNA (618 nucleotides) under Bipolaris woodii. RNAcentral's name for it is "partial large subunit ribosomal RNA". It matches the Rfam family "Eukaryotic large subunit ribosomal RNA", at positions 35 to 668 of the family's 3401-position model. The record is from RNAcentral. Lineage: Eukaryota; Fungi; Ascomycota; Dothideomycetes; Pleosporales; Pleosporaceae.